This 253-nucleotide ribosomal RNA is filed under the name uncultured bacterium. RNAcentral describes it as "partial 16S ribosomal RNA". It matches the Rfam family "Bacterial small subunit ribosomal RNA", at positions 524 to 776 of the family's 1533-position model. The record is from RNAcentral.
UACGAAGGGUGCAAGCGUUACUCGGAAUUACUGGGCGUAAAGAGCUCGUAGGUGGUUUGUCGCGUUGUUCGUGAAAACUCACAGCUCAACUGUGGGCGUGCGGGCGAUACGGGCAGACUGGAGUACUGCAGGGGAGACUGGAAUUCCUGGUGUAGCGGUGGAAUGCGCAGAUAUCAGGAGGAACACCGGUGGCGAAGGCGGGUCUCUGGGCAGUAACUGACGCUGAGGAGCGAAAGCGUGGGGAGCAAACAGG